GGCCACUGCUAUCGGAGUUCGAUUAAGCCAUGCGAGUCGAGAGGAAACUCGGCAUACUGCUCAGUAACACGUGGACAAUCUAACCUACGGAGGGGAUAACCCCGGGAAACUGGGGAUAAUACCCCAUAGACUAUGGAUGCUGGAAUGCUUUGUAGUCGAAAGGUCCGCCGCCGUAGGAUGGGUCUGCGGCCGAUUAGGUUGUUGUUGGGGUAACGGCCCAACAAGCCUGUAAUCGGUACGGGUUGUGGGAGCAAGAGCCCGGAGAUGGAUUCUGAGACACGAAUCCAGGCCCUACGGGGCGCAGCAGGCGCGAAAACUUUACAAUGCGGGAAACCGUGAUAGGGGAACUCCGAGUGCCCGUUAAUCGGGCUGUCCACCAGUUUAAAUAACUGGUGAAGAAAGGGCCGGGCAAGACCGGUGCCAGCCGCCGCGGUAAUACCGGCGGCUCGAGUGGUGGCCACUAUUACUGGGCUUAAAGCGUUCGUAGCUGGUUUGUUAAGUCUCUGGGGAAAUCUUCCGGCUUAACCGGAAGGCGUCUCAGGGAUACUGGCAGACUAGGGACCGGGAGAGGUGAGGGGUACUCCAGGGGUAGGAGUGAAAUCCUGUAAUCCUU
This 613-nucleotide ribosomal RNA is filed under the name uncultured archaeon. RNAcentral's name for it is "bacterial SSU rRNA". It matches the Rfam family "Archaeal small subunit ribosomal RNA", at positions 22 to 650 of the family's 1478-position model. The record is from RNAcentral.